GACGAACGCUGGCGGCGUGCUUAACACAUGCAAGUCGAACGGAAAGGCCCUGCUUUUGUGGGGUGCUCGAGUGGCGAACGGGUGAGUAACACGUGAGUAACCUGCCCUUGACUUUGGGAUAACUUCAGGAAACUGGGGCUAAUACCGGAUAGGAGCUCCUGCUGCAUGGUGGGGGUUGGAAAGUUUCGGCGGUUGGGGAUGGACUCGCGGCUUAUCAGCUUGUUGGUGGGGUAGUGGCUUACCAAGGCUUUGACGGGUAGCCGGCCUGAGAGGGUGACCGGCCAAUUUGGGAUGGAGAUACGGCCCAGCCUCCGCGGGGGGGCAGCGGGGGGGAAUAUGGCACAGGGGGCGGAAGCCUGAUGCAGCACCGCCGCGUGCGGGAUGGCGGCCUUCGGGUUGUAACCCGCUUUCGCCGGUGACGAAGCGGGAGUGACGGUAAUGGGUAAAGAAGCACCGGCUAACUCCGUG
This 468-nucleotide ribosomal RNA is filed under the name uncultured bacterium. Its description in RNAcentral is "partial 16S ribosomal RNA". It matches the Rfam family "Bacterial small subunit ribosomal RNA", at positions 28 to 507 of the family's 1533-position model. The record is from RNAcentral.